GUAGUUUAGAAUCAGUAAGGGCCUGGCUCUUUUGGCUGGGGUGUAAUGAUAUACAAACUCUUGUGAGGAUUUGAAACACUAAGCUUCUGCUCUGAAGUUGAUCUCUUCAUCUGUCCAGCCUAGGAUCUAUCUACAUUCCCCCUGGCUACAGGAUCAACUGAUCAGCAGCGUGUCAUAUUGGCCUCUUGUUAAACAUGAAUAGCUGAAGCACCUAGUAAUUGUCUACAGAAGCCACUGACAGGGAUGGAGCUGCAGAGUUCAGAUCCAGGUUUGGAUGUGGGAUCUGUAUUUUGAAACCAGGCCAGGUAGACCCUGCUCACCUGGUGGACCCGGUGGACCUGGAUGCCCACGCUCACCCAUUGGACCCGUCUCUCCUGUAGGACCCUAAGAAAAGACCAAGAGAUACUGAGGGAACAGUUCAAUACUAGAGAAACAAAGAAUGAGAAAAGUCUGUAGAUCAGUGAAUGCCAUUCACAGCUGUACCCAUCCAUCCCCUUUAAUGGGCAGCCCUUUCCUGCUAAUACCCACCCCCAGAGGUGCUAGGACUGAGCAUGCUAUCAAGCUCGCUGGCACUGCGAGUGAGGCCAGUCUCCAGCAACUCCAGUGACUCUUAGGACGGCCCUAGUUAAAUCUGGCAACCCUCAUUCAUGACUGAAAAGCUGCAGAUGCUGGUGCCCAAGCAUGGCUUAUCUCUGUAAAACAUGUGGACCCCAUUUCAGACUCUCUUUUUCUUCUGCCAGCGAUGUUUUCGGGGGAGGCUAGUGCAAUCUUCGGGAAGGCACUGUAAAUGGAAAGCUAAUUCCCUUGGAGUUCUUCAAUAAACACAAUCAGAUGAA
Molecule: long non-coding RNA, 836 nt
Organism: Mauremys reevesii (Reeves's turtle)
Lineage: Eukaryota; Metazoa; Chordata; Testudines; Geoemydidae
Exons: 2
Source: RefSeq, a predicted model, not a curated record